This 294-nucleotide long non-coding RNA is filed under the name Hordeum vulgare. Its description in RNAcentral is "long non-coding RNA (HVUL_LNC008059)". Lineage: Eukaryota; Viridiplantae; Streptophyta; Magnoliopsida; Poales; Poaceae. The record is from RNAcentral.
UUUUCUUCUUUUUUCACCAUGAUUUUUUUUCAAAUCAAUGUUUCGGAAGCAACCAACCUCCAUUUUUGCAGAUAGAGAACUUCAAAACUCUGGUCAGGGAAAGAAACCCAUGGAAGCAUGAUCUAGACAAGUUUGAGCGCUUCAAUCCAUCAGGCUACCCACAACAGUCAACAACGUAGUGUUUUCCGCGAUUAGACAUUAUUUAGUGCAACUUUUUAUUUCAUAUAUGUGAUCUCAUUUUUCUCCAAUUUUUCCCCUGGCAGAUUUGAUUGCGGCUUGUUUGCUAUUCUAUAC